Molecule: microRNA precursor, 109 nt
Filed under: Chlorocebus sabaeus (green monkey)
Lineage: Eukaryota; Metazoa; Chordata; Mammalia; Primates; Cercopithecidae
Description: miRNA (ENSCSAG00000025376.1)
Source: RNAcentral
GCUACAGCGGGUGCUUACAUUGCCUCCCAGAUGGUGAAGAAGGUGAUAGAGAUCAACCCAUACCUGCUAGGCACCAUGGCUGGGGGCGCAGCAGAUUGCAGCUUCUGGG